UACGGAGGAUCCGAGCGUUAUCCGGAUUUAUUGGGUUUAAAGGGAGCGUAGGUGGAUUGUUAAGUCAGUUGUGAAAGUUUGCGGCUCAACCGUAAAAUUGCAGUUGAAACUGGCAGUCUUGAGUACAGUAGAGGUGGGCGGAAUUCGUGGUGUGGCGGUGAAAUGCUUAGAUAUCACGAAGAACUCCGAUUGCGAAGGCAGCUCACUAGACUGCAACUGACACUGAUGCUCGAAAGUGUGGGUAUCAAACAGG
This 253-nucleotide ribosomal RNA is filed under the name uncultured bacterium. RNAcentral's name for it is "partial 16S ribosomal RNA". It matches the Rfam family "Bacterial small subunit ribosomal RNA", at positions 524 to 776 of the family's 1533-position model. The record is from RNAcentral.